RNAcentral lists this ribosomal RNA (1046 nucleotides) under Enterococcus faecium. RNAcentral describes it as "bacterial SSU rRNA". It matches the Rfam family "Bacterial small subunit ribosomal RNA", at positions 192 to 1226 of the family's 1533-position model. Lineage: Bacteria; Bacillati; Bacillota; Bacilli; Lactobacillales; Enterococcaceae. The record is from RNAcentral.
GUUUUGAUUUGAAAGGCGCUUUCGGGUGUCGCUGAUGGAUGGACCCGCGGUGCAUUAGCUAGUUGGUGAGGUAACGGCUCACCAAGGCCACGAUGCAUAGCCGACCUGAGAGGGUGAUCGGCCACAUUGGGACUGAGACACGGCCCAAACUCCUACGGGAGGCAGCAGUAGGGAAUCUUCGGCAAUGGACGAAAGUCUGACCGAGCAACGCCGCGUGAGUGAAGAAGGUUUUCGGAUCGUAAAACUCUGUUGUUAGAGAAGAACAAGGAUGAGAGUAACUGUUCAUCCCUUGACGGUAUCUAACCAGAAAGCCACGGCUAACUACGUGCCAGCAGCCGCGGUAAUACGUAGGUGGCAAGCGUUGUCCGGAUUUAUUGGGCGUAAAGCGAGCGCAGGCGGUUUCUUAAGUCUGAUGUGAAAGCCCCCGGCUCAACCGGGGAGGGUCAUUGGAAACUGGGAGACUUGAGUGCAGAAGAGGAGAGUGGAAUUCCAUGUGUAGCGGUGAAAUGCGUAGAUAUAUGGAGGAACACCAGUGGCGAAGGCGGCUCUCUGGUCUGUAACUGACGCUGAGGCUCGAAAGCGUGGGGAGCAAACAGGAUUAGAUACCCUGGUAGUCCACGCCGUAAACGAUGAGUGCUAAGUGUUGGAGGGUUUCCGCCCUUCAGUGCUGCAGCUAACGCAUUAAGCACUCCGCCUGGGGAGUACGACCGCAAGGUUGAAACUCAAAGGAAUUGACGGGGGCCCGCACAAGCGGUGGAGCAUGUGGUUUAAUUCGAAGCAACGCGAAGAACCUUACCAGGUCUUGACAUCCUUUGACCACUCUAGAGAUAGAGCUUCCCCUUCGGGGGCAAAGUGACAGGUGGUGCAUGGUUGUCGUCAGCUCGUGUCGUGAGAUGUUGGGUUAAGUCCCGCAACGAGCGCAACCCUUAUUGUUAGUUGCCAUCAUUCAGUUGGGCACUCUAGCAAGACUGCCGGUGACAAACCGGAGGAAGGUGGGGAUGACGUCAAAUCAUCAUGCCCCUUAUGACCUGGGCUACACACGUGCU